ACUCUACGUGGACUGCUSCGGAUAACGGAGAGGAAGGUGGGGAUGACGUCAAGUCCGCAUGGCCUUUAUGUCCAGGGCUACACACGUGUUACAAUGCAGGGCACAAACCGUUGCCAACCCGCGAGGGGGAGCUAAUCGGAAAAAACUCUGCUCASUUCGGAUUGCAGUCUGCAACUCSACUGCAUGAAGCCGGAAUCGCUAGUAAUGGCGUAUCA
RNAcentral lists this ribosomal RNA (215 nucleotides) under uncultured bacterium. RNAcentral describes it as "partial 16S ribosomal RNA". It matches the Rfam family "Bacterial small subunit ribosomal RNA", at positions 1137 to 1351 of the family's 1533-position model. The record is from RNAcentral.